This 468-nucleotide ribosomal RNA is filed under the name uncultured bacterium. RNAcentral's name for it is "partial 16S ribosomal RNA". It matches the Rfam family "Bacterial small subunit ribosomal RNA", at positions 28 to 507 of the family's 1533-position model. The record is from RNAcentral.
GACGAACGCUGGCGGCGUGCUUAACACAUGCAAGUCGAACGGAAAGGCCCUGCUUUUGUGGGGUGCUCGAGUGGCGAACGGGUGAGUAACACGUGAGUAACCUGCCCUUGACUUUGGGAUAACUUCAGGAAACUGGGGCUAAUACCGGAUAGGAGCUCCUGCUGCAUGGUGGGGGUUGGAAAGUUUCGGCGGUUGGGGAUGGACUCGCGGCUUAUCAGCUUGUUGGUGGGGUAGUGGCUUACCAAGGCUUUGACGGGUAGCCGGCCUGAGAGGGUGACCGGCCACAUUGGGACUGAGAUACGGCCCAGACUCGUACGGGAGGCAGCAGUGGGGAAUAUUGCACAAUGGGCGGAAGCCUGAUGCAGCAACGCCGCGUGCGGGAUGACGGCCUUCGAGUUGUAAACCGCUUUCGCCUGUGACGAAGCGUGAGUGACGGUAAUGGGUAAAGAAGCACCGGCUAACUACGUG